GGACGCAGGAGGCGGAGCCAUGGUCGGGGCGCGCUCUCAGCCCGGGUGGGGGCGGCGCUGCGCAGGCCCAGUAGAUGCGGAACUGGAGCGCCGGGUGGCGCGCGGGGCGCUGGCUGCAGGGAUCCGGCAGGGGGCGCUGCUGAGAGGCGCGAGAAGGUGGUGGGGCAAGAGAACCAGCCCCUAAUAUCAGCUGUCCAGUAGCAGUAGUCAGCCCCUAGGGUGCCUCAUGUCCCAACCCAGCUCUCCUGAGGGCCUAGCCACAAGCUCCUGCCCCGCUGCAGAUCAGGUCUCAGCAGGAAACACCCUGUGGGCCAACAUCAGGGCAUUGCUGCCCAACACUAAAGAAGACCUGAAAUUGGACUUCAGCGAGAAAGUGGAGGAAAGUGUCAUCUCACUGCUGCAGCAAGCUAGAGACCUUCUCUAUGGAGCUGGAAGCCUCUGCUCUGGAAGCACAAGGGAAACCUGCUUACAAGUCAGUGAGAUAAUAAUAGAUUACUCUUGGGAAAAGCUUAAUAUUGGGACUUGGAGAGAUGUGGACAAGGACUGGCGACGAGUCUAUUCUUAUGGCUGCCUUUUCAAAGCGCUGUGUAUGUGCAGUGAGCAAGGCACCAUAGCAGAUACAAUUCGGCUCUGUGACAUGGGACUGCUGAUGGGAGCAUCCAUAUUGGAUAACAUCCUGGUUAGGAUAAUUAAUGUCCUUCAGAAGCAUCUGACGUAUGGGAAACGGUUUGCUGAAGAAGACACAAAGGAGUCAUGUAGAAAGAAAAUCCGGAAUGACCACACGACCGUUCCAUCAAUAAAGUCAAAAGAAGUUAUUCCACGGGUCCACUGCCCUUCUCUAGAGCAUUUCAGAGAUAAUUAUUUGAUUCCACAAAAGCCUGUCAUCCUGGAGGGUAUUGUUGACCACUGGCCAUGUAUGAAGAAAUGGAGUCUGGAUUAUCUCCGUCAAAUCGCCGGCUGCCGCACUGUCCCUGUGGAAGUGGGUUCCCGGUACACCGAUGAGGAAUGGUCUCAGACACUCAUGAUUGUCAAUGACUUCAUCGAUCAGUAUAUCGUGAACAAGAAUAGCAUUGGAUACCUUGCCCAGCAUCAACUUUUUGAUCAGAUCCCAGAACUGAAGCAGGAUAUUUGCAUCCCUGAUUACUGCAGCCUCGGGGAAGGGGAAGAAGAUAACAUCACCAUUAAUGCUUGGUUUGGCCCAGAGGGAACUAUCUCACCUCUUCAUCAGGAUCCACAGCAAAAUUUCUUAGUCCAGGUGAGGAACCCAGGCACAGAAAGGAGAAGUGAGUUUCCCAAGGUCACACCUGGAGUCCAUGGCAGAGCUGGGAAGAACCCAUUUCUCCAGAUUCCCUGCAUGGGGCAUUAUCCAUAAAACCUUCCUUUUCCUCUCUAGGAUGCAGCAGAGUUUUGUGUGAAUUUAUACCACAAGGGCAAAUAACACCAUCAGCCCUGAUUAUCUUAUGAAAUAGCUCUUUGUAUUCCAUGAAAAUUCAGAGUUUAAACCAUGUUCUCACCCUAGCCAAAUUAGUGCUAUUCUCAGAUGAAAGAAAGAUUAUUGCUGGUAGGUUUAUUAAUGUUUACAUUACAGAAGCACCCAGAGGCUCCGAUCAGGAUUGGGGCUACUUUGUACUAGCGCAGCACAAACACAUGAAGAUUGCCUGCCCAGAGUUUACAAUUUAAGAUGUUCAACUGUGAGUUUGUUUACAGGCUGGAGACCUCAGAGUUGCUCUUUUCUCCCCUUCAGACUCUUAACAGACACAUCAGCCAAUGCACUAAGACAAAUACAGCUAUUGCAUUCUUUCACAUUGCUUUCAGCUGAGCCGUAUAACUGAGGCCCUGGCUAUUUGUGCCUGUUAAUGAGAAGGGGUGUUAGACCUAUUUACCUAAGUACACUACAUUUCCAUUAGAGAUUGUAUUCUUUAUCACUUACUUUUCUAAAAAUGGCUGUUUAGAAUUUCCAUGCAGUUAAACAGCUGCCAUGUUCCACCCAGCAGUGACUGCAUUUUGAUAGGAAGAAUUCCCUAAUGUAUACAGAUUGCAAAGGAUACUGGGAUCUUUCUGGAGGAAAGGCCUUGCAUAGGGUAGUAUUAUGAGGGAAAAUCUGGAUGCCGUGUCAUGCUCCAACCAGCCUUGUGACAGUUGUGCCUUGAGAAGAGGAGAUUCUCAGUCAGUGAAUGGGGAGUGGAGUAUUGUGAGCAGCAGGGGACCUCAUAGCCCAAGUUUUCCCAGUGUUGCCUAAGGCCUGGCUAUGAAUUUCCAGAUCGCCUCAGGGCAUCGUAAACAGGCAAAAUCAAUAUGAAAGAAAUUCAGUGUCAAGUCUCUUCCAGAUACAGUGACUUAGUAGAAACUUCAGCAGUAUCAAACCUUUCUUGGAGACCACCAUACUUACAGUUGAUGAGGAUAAUGAAAAUUUCUGGAAGUGAUUAAAGGCUGCCACUCUUUUGACAUGUGCUGAGUCCAUUGACUAUGUCACCUGCCAUCACCAAGAUUGGUUUGAUGAGAAUGAUGCUGAAAUUCAGGACCCGCUCAACCAGAAAAGAAAAGCUCAUUGCAUAUGGCAAAACGACGUAUCACAUCAAAAGAAGAAAGUCAUACAAGCAACUCAAGGCUGAAGCCCAAAGGAAAAUCCGUGACAUCAAAAACAAGUGGUGGUGAGAAAAGGCCAAGAAGAUUGAGCUUUCCACUCAUAAACAUGACAUGAGGAGCUUUUUUCAGGCAAUAGGGGCCAUUUACGGUCCAUGCCCCCAUACUCCUAUACCACUCUGAGCCCAAGAUGGGUCAAUGUAUUUUAAAAACAGCUAAGCCAUCAAAGCCAGAUGGAAGGAGCAUUUUGAGUCACUCCUGAAUCAUGAAUCAACUGUUUGAUGCCACUAUGAAUCCAUACCUCAAGACAUGAAAGAGAAUCUCUUGCUGAUCCCACCCCCCCAUCCUCAGAGAAGUACCACGAGCCCACAUGCAAACCAAGAACAACAAGGCAACAGGACCAGAUAGCAUACCAGCUGAAGUCUACAAGUUUGGAGGUGAGGAACUGGUAAAGAAGGUCCACAAACUUUUUAUUCAAAUCUGGUAUAAUGAGAAGAUUCCGGAAGACUUGAGAAAUGCCAACAUUGUUACAAUCUUUAAGAAAAGAGAUAAGUUGGAGGGUGAAAAUUAUGGAGGCAUUGCCUUGCUAUCUACAGCAGGGGAAAUUCUCGCCUGUAUCCUCUUAAACCAAUUACUUCCCUUUGCUGAGGAAAUAUUGCCAGAAUCUCAGUGUGGUUUCAGACCAUCUCACAGGACAACCAACAUGAUCUUCGUUGCCUGCCAAAUCCAGGAAAAGUCUCAGGAGUAAAAUCAGGACCUGUACAUGGCCUUCAACUCCAUCAGUCACAAAGUCAUGUGGAAGGUGCUGGCCAGAUUUGGCUGCCCUCCCAACAUUUUUACGGUCCUAAGACGACUUCAUGAUCAGAUGACUACCACCGUUUUCUAUAAUGGCCUGGAGACGGACCCUUUUGUCAUCAAAACUGGUAAACAAGGAUGUGUUAUUGCACCAACCCUAUUCUCCAUCUAUUUAGCAGUCAUUUUGGUCCUCAUUAAAGACCGCCUCCCUAAUGGAGUUGACAUUCAAUACAGAAUGGAUGGGCAGCUGUUUAAUCUUCAAAGUUUAAAGUCCUCCGGGCAUCCAUUAGUGAUCUUCAGUAUGCUGAUGACUGUGCCAUCCUUGCACGCACUGGGUGACUUUCAAUCCACACUGCAUUUUUUUUUGCACAAGCUUACCAAAGCCUAGGACUCUCACUUAAUAUCAAGAAGACUAAAGUGCUCCAUCAGCCUGCCUCAGGCCUUGUAUGUGACUCACCACAAAUCACCUUUGAGGGACAGACUUUGGAGACAGUCGAGCACUUCUGCUACCUCGGUAGUGAACUCUCUCAAAAUACAAAAAUCGAUAGUGAGAUCCUGCACAGGAUCCGGGGCACAAGUGCUUUCUUUGGGAAAGUGCUCCAACGUCUUUUCAUGGACCGUUACCUACGGAAGGACACCAAGAUCCAGGUCUAUAAGACAAUUGUUAUUCCUAUAUUCCUUUAUGGAUGCGAAAGCUAGAUAUCCUAUCAACAGCACCUCAAGAGUCUGGAGAGGUGCCAUCAGCAAUGGCUCUGGAAGAUCUUUCGCAUCAAGUGGGAAGAUCACUGCACUAAUGCCAGCAUCCUCACUGAAGCCAAUGUUACCGGCAUUGAAGCAAUGAUCCUCAUGCACUAACUCCGCUGGGCUGGACGUUGUGUGUGGAUGCCAGACUCUUGCCUCCCAAAACAAGCCCUCUACUCUCAGCUCACCCAUGGUCAGAGAUCCUGUGGUGGUGAAGGAAACGCUACGAAGAAAACUAAUUGACAUAACAAGCUGGGAGGAGCAAGCCACCAACCAACCUCAAUGGCGCCACGUCGAGGAGAAGUGUCUUGCCCUCUAAGCUGAGAAGAGAGAGAGAAGGAAUUAAAAAGAAAAAACCUUUUUCCCAGUAGGCAGCUGAUCCACCAGAAAAUAUCUGUACCUACUGCAGGCAGAUCCGUGGUUCCCAGAUCGGACUCUUGAGUCAUCUCAGGAUCCAUAUGUAAAUCUGUGGUAGCGAUCAUCCUCAAAUCGAGGGAUCGCUAGUGAUGGAGGCAUUAUUCUAUUGCUAACAGAGCACAAGCACCUGUGAAGUUUCAUAGCCUAGCAACUUUAAUUUAGUCUGCCAGUUAAUUUUUAGCAUCACCUGCCUGCAACUCAGAGAAGUUCAGGUCAAUCAGUCCAGCUGCCUUUCUAAUUCUACUCUCCCAAUUGCACAUCACAAUGUAGAGAACAAAUGGUAAUGGAAAAAUUAGACCUUGUAGAGUAUGAGCACGCUCAAGAUCAGCUGGCUGCUACCUGGAAAUAUCACCUUUACUCUCUUGAAUGUAGCACUGCUCAGCUCAGCAGGCACGGCUAACUCAAUACCUUUUUUUAUUCACCAUCCUUUCCACAUUGUUUCCUUCUAGCUAUGUAUGGCCCCAGCAGCACUGUGGAGACUGGGUGCCAUAUAAUGAAAAAUGAAUUUCAAGAGGAAGAGCUGCCUUCCUUUCCUUAAAAGCAUCUCCCCAGUAUUUGGACAUCUUACCUGUUCCAUGAAGCCAGGUAAUUGGAAGAAAAUACAUCCGUCUGUACUCUCCACAGGAAUCAGAAAACUUAUAUCAACAUGAAACCCAAAUUCUUCACAACACCAGCCAG
Molecule: RNA transcript, 5214 nt
Organism: Trachemys scripta elegans
Lineage: Eukaryota; Metazoa; Chordata; Testudines; Emydidae
Gene: KDM8
Gene name: lysine demethylase 8
Exons: 8
Source: RefSeq, a predicted model, not a curated record